This 254-nucleotide ribosomal RNA is filed under the name uncultured bacterium. Its description in RNAcentral is "partial 16S ribosomal RNA". It matches the Rfam family "Bacterial small subunit ribosomal RNA", at positions 524 to 776 of the family's 1533-position model. The record is from RNAcentral.
UACAGAGGGUGCGAGCGUUGUCCGGAAUCACUGGGCGUAAAGGGCGCGUAGGUGGUGGCUUAAGCGUGCGGUGAAAGCUCGGGGCUCAACCCCGAGUCGGCCGUGCGAACUGGGCUCACUGGAGCAUAGUAGAGGCAGGUGGAAUUCCGGGUGUAGCGGUGGAAUGCGUAGAGAUCCGGAAGAACACCGGUGGCGAAGGCGGCCUGCUGGGACAAUGCUGACGCUGAGGCGCGACAGCGUGGGGAGCAAACAGG